Long non-coding RNA from Sitodiplosis mosellana (orange wheat blossom midge), 1876 nucleotides. RefSeq lists it as uncharacterized. The record is from RefSeq and is a predicted model, not a curated record. NCBI's taxonomy places the organism in Eukaryota, Metazoa, Arthropoda, Insecta, Diptera, Cecidomyiidae. The transcript is spliced from 3 exons.
AACACGCGAAAAAUAAUGAUCAUCAGUUCAAGUUUGAUGAAGGAACGAUUCUAAAGCGAGAGAGAAAUAAAACAAAACUCCAAAUUCAUGAAGUCAACCAAAUCAUCAAGUUUGAAAUGAAUGCAUGCAAUGAUAAAACCGAUAAAAAAGACUACACAAAUGCUUAUGUUAAUCUCAUUAAGAAUUCAAAAUAAGUUUUUGACACCGAAAUAUUCAAUUCAUAUUAAUUAAUGUUGAUAGGUUUUUGAAUCGAUUAGGUUUUUUCGUGCAAUAUGAUUCCGUUUAAUGAGCGCAUUUUCGCCAAUCAGAGCAAGUGCCAACUUUGACAUUUCGCUGCAUUGUUUGUUAUUGAAAAUUAGAUUCACAGUGUUAGAGUCAAUUGGCUCUUGAUCCUGAAGAUGGCUUUUGAUAAGCCGAAAUAUAUCGAUCAAAUGGAAUCAUAAAUUUUUUUUUGCAUUUUCAUUCGGAACAAGAAGGAGGCAAUACAAAAAAGUCACACACUCUGUGUGAAUCAAAUAAAUUCACCGUUCCGGCAAUACAACAUACACAGUCCAAUUGGAUUGUUUUUUUUUCAAUUAGGCUCCCAUCAUCUUUGCGAAAAAAUAUCAGUUUGCCUUGAUCAAAACCCUAAAAAAUGGCUUUCUGAGUGAUUUUUCAUAUAAAAGUGCCAUUUUCGAUGAAAAUUUCAAAAAAUAUCGAUUUCGGACCCAAUUUAUGGACAAACAAAUGGAUUUAUUUUUGCAAAAUAAUGCCAGUUUCCUUUGACCAAAACCCUGAAAAAUGCUUUUUUCGAGUACUUCCCAUACAAAAGUCUCAAUUUACUUAGGGAUUUCAGGUCCUCAGUCUGAGGCACAUUGCACGAAAUCGUUUGCAAUUAUCUCGUCAAUUUUUUGAGACAAUGGGCGAACAAGUUUACGUAGAACGCGGGCGAGAACGCGGACGACGCCAUACAAACAUUGCUGUUUUACACAUUUUUCAUAGUAAACAACGUAUUUUUGGUGGUAUAUAAGUCUUGAUCGAUGGGAUUAGAUCCCAUUUACAUUGCCUAGUGUAUGGAUUUGUGCUAUUUGAAGUUUUGGGCAGCUUUAUAGUGGUCCGAAAGAGGAGGAGUCAUGAAAUUUCGGCUAGUAAAACCAAUACUUUUCCUUACAAACAAGUUUGCGGAAAAGUAAAAAUGUACAACGAACGCAUUUAUAUUUUCAUUUCAAUUCGCGCUGAUGAUAACAAGGAAUUAUUCGAGAUCAAUGCACAAGAUUUCAUCAAUGUGUUUGUGUGGAAUAGCGUAAGCAGUGUAUAUAAUCUGAAAUCGCAUAACAGAUAACUGUAAUAAUUAUUUUCAACUCUUUCUCGACCAAAUAAUUCGGUUUAAUUGUAAUUUAUAUAGUAUUUCUUGUGCUUUUAUGAAAUUCAUACGACAUUAAAACAAAUCUUUCCAUUCUUUUUAAGAAAUCAAACAAUGUUUUUGAAUUCAUCACAAAGUUAUUGUUGUUAACUGACAGUUGUUUGUGGCGGCAACUGUAUUUCAACUACAACAUCAUUUUUGGCAAAAGUUACAUAAAAGAUCUUAUCGCUUCUUUUUUAAAUGAUUGACAAGAGAUAAUCGGAAGAAAACUAUAUGAGAUGAGGUUUUACAACAAUAGAUGGGGAUGCUUAUGUGCAGGGUCUACUAUCAUAUAUACGGUAGUGUAUUUCAAACAUUAUUUGCACGUGAUCUCAAAAACCCAAACUUUUUGUAUUCCAAACUUUCCCAUAGUUGGAUGAAGAAAAUAAUAUUAUUUGUAUAUUCUGGUUUAUUUUUGUCAAUUCACUUGAAAAAAUAGACAGGGAACAAAAAUUUAACCUUUUUCAGUAGAUUUCACCGUCGCGUAAUGUAAAG